This 768-nucleotide ribosomal RNA is filed under the name uncultured bacterium. RNAcentral's name for it is "bacterial SSU rRNA". It matches the Rfam family "Bacterial small subunit ribosomal RNA", at positions 8 to 769 of the family's 1533-position model. The record is from RNAcentral.
AGGGUUUGAUCAUGGCUCAGAACGAACGCUGGCGGCGUGGAUAAGACAUGCAAGUCGAACGAGAAACUUACUUAGCUUGCUUUGAAAGUUUCUAGUGGCGAACGGGUGAGUAACACGUGAGUUACCUGCCCCGAAGCGGGGGAUAGCCUCUCGAAAGGGAGAUUAAUACCCCAUGUGAUCGUAAGAUUAAAGGCGGCUUCGGCUGUCGCUUCGGGAUGGGCUCGCGGCCUAUCAGCUAGUUGGUGAGGUAACUGCUUACCAAGGCGAUGACGGGUAGCUGGUCUGAGAGGACGACCAGUCACACUGGAACUGAGACACGGUCCAGACACCUACGGGUGGCAGCAGUCGAGAAUCAUUCGCAAUGGGCGAAAGCCUGACGGUGCGACGCCGCGUGGAGGAUGAAGGCCUUAGGGUCGUAAACUCCUGUCAUCAGGGAGUAGUGGCUUACGUAGUAACUGACGUGGGCAGUGAUAGUACCUGAAGAGGAAGGGACGGCAAACUUCGUGCCAGCAGCCGCGGUAAUACGAAGGUCUCAAGCGUUGUUCGGAUUUACUGGGCGUAAAGCGUCUGUAGGCGGAGUGGUAAGUCAGAUGUGAAAUCCCGGGGCUCAACCCCGGAACUGCAUCCGAUACUGCCACCCUAGAGGGUCGGAGGGGAGUCUGGAAUUCUCGGUGUAGCAGUGAAAUGCGUAGAUAUCGAGAGGAACACUAGUGGCGAAGGCGAGACUCUGGACGACACCUGACGCUGAGAGACGAAGGCCAGGGUAGC